This 1060-nucleotide long non-coding RNA is filed under the name Piliocolobus tephrosceles (Ugandan red Colobus). RNAcentral's name for it is "lncRNA (ENSPTEG00000002549.1)". Lineage: Eukaryota; Metazoa; Chordata; Mammalia; Primates; Cercopithecidae. The record is from RNAcentral.
UUUGAUAUUAAGAGAUAUACAUACGAUUGAAAUAGAGUUAAUACGACACUCUUCUAUUUUGUGUGAUCAUUUGAAAAAGGAUUUUAUAUUAAUAGAUGACCUGUUCAUAAAAUAUACUACUAUUGUAAAUUUUAGCAGAUGUAUGUUUUUAGAAAAUGUAAUUGAGGGUGUAAAUGUGUCUAACACAGGUGCUUCUAAUGCAACAACGCCUAACGUAACUUCUCCCAAUAGGGUAUUACCUAACAAAGCCGAUUUUGAAAAAAAUCUUGAAUCCAUGCAUAUCAGCAAAAACGGACUCGUAUUUUGUGAAGUAAUAAAUUUGUUUAAUUCUUUAUUAAAGCGAGUAGAACAACAUUAUCAUCCCAUAAAUCAGAUAUUAAAAAUUUUGAACAUAAAAACGGAACAAACUGAAAACAUUCACCUUUUAUAUCUUACGAUAAGUGAAAAAAUAAAAAGAUACCUAACAAAUAUCAGUAAUGAAUGGUUUAAACAAACAGUAAACGUUGUAAAUCAUUUUUUGAAUGAAAAUAUAUUUAAAGUGGAACGUGGUAUGUUUUACGUGAAUUUUCACCCAUACAUAUUUUUAUUCAUAAGUAAUGUAAAAAACUUUUUUCUAAACAAUUUGAGUGUUAAUCUAGAUUGUUUAGAGAUAUAUAAAAAAGCUAAUUCAUUUAAAAAAUAUAUAAAUAUAUUAAAUAAUAUUACUAAAAAACACAAUCAUGUGGUUGGUAAGACAUUAAAGGUAGAAAGAGAUUUAUUUAGAGAGAAAUUGUGUAAUGUAAAAAGAACAUUAAUGAAAGGAGUUAAUGAAAUAAAAUGGACCCAAGAUAAUAUUUAUGAAUAUAUUGAACAGGUUGAUAAAGAUAUGUCCGAUGUAUAUCAUAACAUUUCCAUCUUACAUAAUCAUUUUUUGUUUAUUUUGAAAGUAGCCAAAUCGAGUGUUGCAAAACCUGUUAUUGAAAGAAGAAAAACAAAAGAAGAUAUCUACAACUAUUUAAACGCAUAUAAAAAUAAUAUGUCUAUGUUAAAAAAUAAACUAACAGAAGAUUUUAAAAAUAUA